GGGGAAUAUUGCACAAUGGGCGAAAGCCUGAUGGAGCAACGCCGCGUGUGUGAAGAAGGCCUUCGGGUUGUAAAGCACUUUUGUCCGGAAAGAAAUCCUUGGCUCUAAUACAGUCGGGGGAUGACGGUACCGGAAGAAUAAGCACCGGCUAACUACGUGCCAGCAGCCGCGGUAAUACGUAGGGUGCGAGCGUUAAUCGGAAUUACUGGGCGUAAAGCGUGCGCAGGCGGUUUGCUAAGACCGAUGUGAAAUCCCCGGGCUCAACCUGGGAACUGCAUUGGUGACUGGCAGGCUAGAGUAUGGCAGAGGGGGGUAGAAUUCCACGUGUAGCAGUGAAAUGCGUAGAGAUGUGGAGGAAUACCGAUGGCGAAGGCAGCCCCCUGGGCAAAUACUGACGCUCAUGCACGAAAGCGUGGGGAGCAAAC
RNAcentral lists this ribosomal RNA (425 nucleotides) under uncultured bacterium. RNAcentral describes it as "bacterial SSU rRNA". It matches the Rfam family "Bacterial small subunit ribosomal RNA", at positions 356 to 773 of the family's 1533-position model. The record is from RNAcentral.